Molecule: ribosomal RNA, 250 nt
Filed under: uncultured Eubacteriales bacterium
Lineage: Bacteria; Bacillati; Bacillota; Clostridia; Eubacteriales
Description: uncultured Clostridiales bacterium partial 16S ribosomal RNA
Rfam family: Bacterial small subunit ribosomal RNA
Source: RNAcentral
GACUGAGCGGCGGACGGGUGAGUAACGCGUGGGUAACCUGCCUCAUACAGGGGGAUAACAGUUAGAAAUGACUGCUAAUACCGCAUAAGCGCACAGUGCUGCAUGGCACAGUGUGAAAAACUCCGGUGGUAUAAGAUGGACCCGCGUUGGAUUAGCUAGUUGGUGGGGUAACGGCCCACCAAGGCGACGAUCCAUAGCCGGCCUGAGAGGGUGAACGGCCACAUUGGGACUGAGACACGGCCCAGACUCC